Non-coding RNA from Gossypium hirsutum (cotton), 145 nucleotides. The record is from Rfam. Lineage: Eukaryota; Viridiplantae; Streptophyta; Magnoliopsida; Malvales; Malvaceae.
AGUUAAAAUCUUCAUUCAUUUGUACUAUUAAAAACUGACGUAGCUGAUGGAAUAAUCAAACAAUAACAUGUAGCGUGCCAUGUGUACCUCAUGCUAACAUAUAAGGACCAAAUUUUAACAACAGAAUUGGAUGAAAUUUUUAAUA